This is a long non-coding RNA of Micropterus dolomieu (smallmouth bass), 1621 nucleotides long. RefSeq lists it as uncharacterized. Lineage: Eukaryota; Metazoa; Chordata; Actinopteri; Centrarchiformes; Centrarchidae. The record is from RefSeq and is a predicted model, not a curated record. The transcript is spliced from 3 exons.
CCGUUAAAAGCCGUUAAAUGAAUUUAAAUCACACGGAUGGUAAUUUAUAAACUUAUCGAUCAGUUUAAACGGGUUAAAUCUCGCGUCCACGUUCAUUUACGGUCUUUUCCCGGUUUAGACACUCACAAGAUGCUGGAGCCGGUGGUUCCUCUGUCACCGCAGGACGCUCUGCUGCCUCUGCGGGGGCUGGGGAUGCUUUCCGGGGUUCAGCCGCUGGGAGGGCGUCGCUCUUCGGGGCAGGUUCUGGUUCGGGGGCAGCCCGUUCGAUCUUUGUGCUCUCCGGUUCGACUUUAGGGGCGACAAAUUCAGGCUGCGGGGUAAUUAAAGAAAAGCUGGUGGAGUCUGGGGUCGCCGUCUCGACCUCCGGCUCCGGUUCAGGGUGCUUCACCUCUGGCACGGGCACCGGUUGCGUUACGUGGACCGGCUCCGGUAACGUUACGAGCUUCUCUGGAGGAUCGAAGGACGUGUCUGUGAACUCAUGUGGCGCACCGUCUUCUACGAAGUGCCGCUCCAAGGCGUCCUUAGCCCCGCCGACCAAGUCCACAAUAUCAUCCAGGUUGAAGCGGUCCGGCUCGGGGUCCGGUCCGGCCUGGUAGUGGUGCACCCCGUCACUGAACAAAGGAGUGGUGGAAGAGACUUGCUGCUCCUCGCUGUCUGCCAUUUUUCUUUUUUCCCCGAACUCUCUUCAGUGGGUGGAAAAAGUUUCAGGUUCGGUACGUACUCGGCUCAGGUACCUCGUGUAAAGAAACUUCCACCGGGGAUGAUCUGUGAGACCGCGCCGGUAACCCCCCUCCGGUAAGUCCGCUUUUAGACACCGGAUGAAGUUGGACAAGUGCGCCACACGACAGUUUCCACAGAGUCGGACCCGAGUCUCAGAUGGACGCUGUGGAUGACAAGGAGACGAGGGGGGGGACUGCAGUGACCAAUCACCUGCGGCUUAACCUCUGAGUGACACGAGCUGUGGCCAAUCACAGCGUGCCAAAGUAGACUCUGACCCCGCCCCACCGGAGCGGAGGCGUUACGGGACGAACGGCUCUAAAAAGUUAGGUGGAGCAGAGUUCAGGUUCCUCCUGCUCCACACUCUGACCCGCAGCUGUUACACAACAUUUCCUUCACUCGCUCCUCCUCCUGCUGCCGACAGAUGCCCCUCCAACUUACUGGCAGCGGCGGGCAAACCCAGUCUCCCCACAAAGAUCAAUAAAGUUUCUUCAGAGAAAGUUGGAGCUUGAAGCUGCAGAGGCUCGAGCACCAUCCUCAGACCAAAUACCUGCAGGACUAACUUACACCGGAGGGAUCUCUAAAGGACAGCACGAGCAGGAUGAUACAGCAGCCUGUUUCCCUGGGAGUGAAAGUGGGGUUUGAAGGAAUCUGUGUCAUGCUGGGUCAGCACCACACACACACAUUUAACCAUUUAUUUACACACACAUGCACGAAAAUGGUGCAGGGACACAAAUAGUAAAGAUAGUAGAAGAUCAUGGAGCGGUGCCAGCGUUGUGCCCAGUCUAUGAAUGUCUGAGACUUGCAGGGUUCUUGCUUUUUAAAUAAAAUUUAAGACCUCAAAAGUGUGGAGACAAUUUCUUUAAAAGAAAAGAGAUGCGCCUUUUUAAACGCACAAAUUAUA